Molecule: microRNA precursor, 54 nt
Filed under: Alligator mississippiensis (American alligator)
Lineage: Eukaryota; Metazoa; Chordata; Crocodylia; Alligatoridae
Description: Ami-Mir-9607_pre stem-loop
Source: RNAcentral
CUCUGUUCUUUUGCAUCUUUCAGACCAGGAUGAAAGAGCAGCAGAACUCAGCAG